Molecule: ribosomal RNA, 515 nt
Filed under: uncultured bacterium
Lineage: Bacteria
Description: partial 16S ribosomal RNA
Rfam family: Bacterial small subunit ribosomal RNA
Source: RNAcentral
GAUGAACGCUGGCGGCGUGCCUAAUACAUGCAAGUCGAGCGAAUGGAUUAAGAGCUUGCUCUUAUGAAGUUAGCGGCGGACGGGUGAGUAACACGUGGGUAACCUGCCCAUAAGACUGGGAUAACUCCGGGAAACCGGGGCUAAUACCGGAUAACAUUUUGAACCGCAUGGUUCGAAAUUGAAAGGCGGCUUCGGCUGUCACUUAUGGAUGGACCCGCGUCGCAUUAGCUAGUUGGUGAGGUAACGGCUCACCAAGGCCACGAUGCGUAGCCGAACUGAGAGGGGGAUCGGCCACACGGGGACUGGGACACGGCCCAGACUCCUACGGGAGGCAGCAGUAGGGAAUCUUCCGCAAUGGACGAAAGUCUGACGGAGCAACGCCGCGUGAGUGAUGAAGGCUUUCGGGUCGUAAAACUCUGUUGUUAGGGAAGAACAAGUGCUAGUUGAAUAAGCUGACACCUUGACGGUACCUAACCAGAAAGCCACGGCUAACUACGUGCCAGCCGCCGCGGUAA